RNAcentral lists this ribosomal RNA (1784 nucleotides) under Triticum aestivum (bread wheat). RNAcentral describes it as "partial small subunit ribosomal RNA". The record is from RNAcentral. Lineage: Eukaryota; Viridiplantae; Streptophyta; Magnoliopsida; Poales; Poaceae.
CGCCUGUUUUGAGACGGUAGACGCGUAGGAUAGACCAGGAGACCAGUUGCUUUUUUUAGUCGUGGGGUGGAGGGUGCGUGCUGAGCGCCUUGGUGGGUGCGGCGGCCGGCGGCUCGGGAGUGAGCCUGCGGGUGGGACGGUGGUCGGCAGCGACGAGGAGCGUGGGAGGGUGCCACCGCGACGGGGGGCCGAGGAACGCCGGGCAGUGCGGGGGCGCGCCGGAGGGAGACGUCGCGGGGUCGGGGCACGGCGGGUGGUGCAGGGUCCCGCCACAGGGAGCCGCCGAGGGGGCGGGGGCACGGUGGACGUCGCGGCGUCGCGCGGGAGGGAGCUGCCGCGGGGGCCGGUCGUGCGGGAAGGAACCGCCGCAGGUAGAUCUCUAGGUGGUGGCUCAGUUCAUGGUGAAGAAAAAAAAAGAAAGACAAUGGAUCAGUUGUUAAAAGAAUUCUUGUUAGCAUGUAACGUUUAGUCAUAUUUAGUAACAACAUGUACAGUUUACGUACCAGAAAACAUCAUUCUUUAGUUUCUGCCUCUCUACAAGUAAAAAUAAACAUGUUCUCUGGUAAGUUUUAAAUAAGAAACCGAUAGCAAACAGGACUCACCGAGAGACACACAACAAAUAAAACACUCACUUUUCUCGUCCAGUCCAAGGACUAUUGAAGCCAUUACAAAGACCCAGUCUUGAAUUCCAUCUCCACUACCUUCUCUCCGAUAAUGUUCUGAACUGAGCACUUCAAACAAGACACGAAACCCAAAAUCGUAAUGGAUCAAACUCUCAUCUGAAGGUAGAAACCUUGUUGAACCUUGACAGUUGGCCUAACUAAGAAGAGAAUUUUCAGACCUUAGUAAACGAAGGUCGAGAGAAUAACCCAUGAUCUUUUUAAAGAACGGUGUAUACACACAUAUGGAAUCAAGAAUUUAAAGUAGCUCGUCGUGGAAUUGUCUACUUGUUUCUGACUGACGAUGAUAAAUAAAUGUCUAAAGAAUACGAAUUACAACUGUAAUGGGAUUGACGAAACUCUUAUUGAUAACUUCACAAGUGAACCUGUCUAUCACUUCUUCACUGAUUUCAUUAUGGGAAAAUACCACGUAACUAAGUGGAACGACAACGUUGUUUGGUCCGACUCGACUCCGUCAAACAAUCUUUCCUAUAUAAAAGCAGAUAUUGUGUCCCGAAAAGACAACUCAACUUACAGCAACAAUCACGCCUCGAAUAACCUGAAACAGCUCCUUAUAUAGAUAUAGACAGUCUGUUUCUAGCACGUGGAUUUGUCAAACCGAGACCUCCGAAACCAGUACGUGUCAAGUCUUUCAUUUUGUUCUUGUGUUCAAGUAGUGACUAGAUAAAAAUGUGAUCAUUCUAUACGUAUGGUAAACGUCACUUUUUCACAAAUUGAUAAAAAUAGGACCUGUUACUUAAACUGAAGUAGAGGUCUACACUGGUUUAGAAAAAUCCGACUGUUCAUAGUGACCUUGACCAUUCAUAGUGAUUUCCGAACUAAGUCGUUGUGCACUAUACAAGGGGAGUGGUCAAUGGUAGAGUCAACAGAAGGAGUGGAGACAAUAGGGUAGCUGUGCCGGCUGUAGAGAUGGUGCCCACAACAUCCCACCUUGGGAUUCACUUCUAGAAAGUGCUUAACCUCCCCCUUAGGGGUUCUUGUUCUACUUGUGUUCUCUCUUUUGUUCUCCUUGUGAGUUCUUGCUCAGGUUAGUGUGUAAGUGAUCUGGCUGUUAGUGUGUUCUAGGUGUUCCAUGUACUUGUUAGUUACCCUUUGUUCUAUGUA